GAUGAACGCUGGCGGCGUGCCUAAUACAUGCAAGUCGAGCGAACGGACGAGAAGCUUGCUUCUCUGAUGUUAGCGGCGGACGGGUGAGUAACACGUGGAUAACCCACCUAUAAGACUGGGAUAAAUUCGGGAAACCGGAGCUAAUACCGGAUAAUAUUUUGAACCGCAUGGUUUAAAAGUGAAAGACGGUCUUGCUGUCACUUAUAGAUGGAUCCGCGCUGCAUUAGCUAGUUGGUAAGGUAACGGCUUACCAAGGCAACGAUGCAUAGCCGACCUGAGAGGGUGAUCGGCCACACUGGAACUGAGACACGGUCCAGACUCCUACGGGAGGCAGCAGUAGGGAAUCUUCCGCAAUGGGCGGAAGCCUGACGGAGCAACGCCGCGUGAGUGAUGAAGGUCUUCGGAUCGUAAAACUCUGUUAUUAGGGAAGAACAUAUGUGUAAGUAACUGUGCACAUCUUGACGGUACCUAAUCAGAAAGCCACGGCUAACUACGUG
Molecule: ribosomal RNA, 497 nt
Filed under: uncultured bacterium
Lineage: Bacteria
Description: partial 16S ribosomal RNA
Rfam family: Bacterial small subunit ribosomal RNA
Source: RNAcentral